RNAcentral lists this ribosomal RNA (253 nucleotides) under uncultured bacterium. Its description in RNAcentral is "partial 16S ribosomal RNA". It matches the Rfam family "Bacterial small subunit ribosomal RNA", at positions 524 to 776 of the family's 1533-position model. The record is from RNAcentral.
UACGGGGGGAGCAAGCGUUGUUCGGAUUUACUGGGCGUAAAGAGCUCGUAGGCGGUUUGUCGCGUCGGCCGUGAAAACUUGGGGCUUAACCCCAAGCCUGCGGUCGAUACGGGCAGACUUGAGUUCGGCAGGGGAGACUGGAAUUCCUGGUGUAGCGGUGAAAUGCGCAGAUAUCAGGAGGAACACCGGUGGCGAAGGCGGGUCUCUGGGCCGAUACUGACGCUGAGGAGCGAAAGCGUGGGGAGCGAACAGG